GACGAACUGUGCAAACGUUAUUCGGAAUCACUGGGCUUGAAGAGUGCGUAGGCGGUUUCGUAAGUAGGGUGUGAAAGCCCCCAGCUCAACUGGGGAACUGCGUCCUAAACUGCGAGGCUGGAGUGAGGUAGGGGUGUGCGGAACUUCCGGUGGAGCGGUGAAAUGUGUUGAUAUCGGAAGGAACGCCGGUGGCGAAAGCGGCACACUGGACCUUGUCUGACGCUGAGGCACGAAAGCCAGGGGAGCAAACGGG
Molecule: ribosomal RNA, 253 nt
Filed under: uncultured bacterium
Lineage: Bacteria
Also listed under: 1 other name
Description: partial 16S ribosomal RNA
Rfam family: Bacterial small subunit ribosomal RNA
Source: RNAcentral